Molecule: ribosomal RNA, 460 nt
Filed under: uncultured bacterium
Lineage: Bacteria
Description: partial 16S ribosomal RNA
Rfam family: Bacterial small subunit ribosomal RNA
Source: RNAcentral
CCUACGGGAGGCAGCAGUGAGGAAUAUUGGUCAAUGGCCGGAAGGCUGAACCAGCCAUGCCGCGUGAAGGUCAGUGCCCUAUGGGCGUUAAACUUCUUUUGUGCGGGAGCAAUAAUGGUCACGUGUGGCCAGACGAGAGUACCGUACGAAUAAGCAUCGGCUUACUCCGUGCCAGCAGCCGCGGUAAUUCGGGGGAUGCAAGCGUUAUCCGGAUUUUUUGGGUUUAAAGGGUGCGUAGGCUGUGAGGUUAGUCAACGGUGAAAUGCCCCCGCUCAACGGGGUGAAGUGCCAUUGAUACUGCCUUGCUGGAAUGCGGAUGCCGUAGGAGGAAUGUGUGGUGUAGCGGUGAAAUGCAUAGAUAUCACACAGAACACCGAUUGCGAAGGCAUCUCACGAAUCCGCGAUUGACGCUGAUGCACGAAAGCGUGGGUAUCAAACAGGAUUAGAUACCCUGGUAGUC